RNAcentral lists this ribosomal RNA (429 nucleotides) under Chloroflexota bacterium. Its description in RNAcentral is "Chloroflexi bacterium partial 16S ribosomal RNA". It matches the Rfam family "Bacterial small subunit ribosomal RNA", at positions 355 to 776 of the family's 1533-position model. Lineage: Bacteria; Bacillati; Chloroflexota. The record is from RNAcentral.
UGGGGAAUAUUGCACAAUGGGCGCAAGCCUGAUGCAGCCAUGCCGCGUGUGUGAAGAAGGCCUUCGGGUUGUAAAGCACUUUCAGCGGGGAGGAAGGCGAUAAGGUUAAUAACCUCAUCGAUUGACGUUACCCGCAGAAGAAGCACCGGCUAACUCCGUGCCAGCAGCCGCGGUAAUACGGAGGGUGCAAGCGUUAAUCGGAAUUACUGGGCGUAAAGCGCACGCAGGCGGUCUGUCAAGUCGGAUGUGAAAUCCCCGGGCUCAACCUGGGAACUGCAUUUGAAACUGGCAGGCUAGAGUCUUGUAGAGGGGGGUAGAAUUCCAGGUGUAGCGGUGAAAUGCGUAGAGAUCUGGAGGAAUACCGGUGGCGAAGGCGGCCCCCUGGACAAAGACUGACGCUCAGGUGCGAAAGCGUGGGGAGCAAACAGG